This 589-nucleotide ribosomal RNA is filed under the name uncultured fungus. RNAcentral describes it as "eukaryotic LSU rRNA". The stretch from base 225 to 378 matches the Rfam family "5.8S ribosomal RNA". Lineage: Eukaryota; Fungi. The record is from RNAcentral.
CUUGGUCAUUUAGAGGAAGUAAAAGUCGUAACAAGGUCUCCGUAGGUGAACCUGCGGAGGGAUCAUUACAAGUGACCCCGGUCUAACCACCGGGAUGUUCAUAACCCUUUGUUGUCCGACUCUGUUGCCUCCGGGGCGACCCUGCCUUCGGGCGGGGGCUCCGGGUGGACACUUCAAACUCUUGCGUAACUUUGCAGUCUGAGUAAACUUAAUUAAUAAAUUAAAACUUUUAACAACGGAUCUCUUGGUUCUGGCAUCGAUGAAGAACGCAGCGAAAUGCGAUAAGUAAUGUGAAUUGCAGAAUUCAGUGAAUCAUCGAAUCUUUGAACGCACAUUGCGCCCCCUGGUAUUCCGGGGGGCAUGCCUGUUCGAGCGCCAUUUCACCACUCAAGCCUCGCUUGGUAUUGGGCAACGCGGUCCGCCGCGUGCCUCAAAUCGACCGGCUGGGUCUUCUGUCCCCUAAGCGUUGUGGAAACUAUUCGCUAAAGGGUGUUCGGGAGGCUACGCCGUAAAACAACCCCAUUUCUAAGGUUGACCUCGGAUCAGGUAGGGAUACCCGCUGAACUUAAGCAUAUCAAUAAGCGGAGGA